AAAAAGACAAAUCCUGGGUUUCCGUGUCCAACGUUUGACUGUCCGUCUUAUAUAAUUUUUUUUAUAAUUAGUAUUUUUAUUGUUGUUAGAUGAUAAAACAUGAUUAAUACUUUAUGCGUGACUUAUCUUUUUAUUUUUUUCAUAUUUUUUUCAAAUAAGACGGUCAAACGUUGGACACGGAAACUCAGGGUUUGUCUUUUU
Molecule: microRNA precursor, 201 nt
Organism: Oryza rufipogon (brownbeard rice)
Lineage: Eukaryota; Viridiplantae; Streptophyta; Magnoliopsida; Poales; Poaceae
Rfam family: MIR812 microRNA precursor family
Source: Rfam